AGGUUAAGUUACAAAGGGCGCACGGUGGAUGCCUUGGCACUAGGAGCCGAUGAAGGACGGAACUAAUACCGAUAUGCUUCGGGGAGCUAUAAGUAAGCUUUGAUCCGGAGAUUUCCGAAUGGGGGAACCCAGUACACAUCAGUGUAUUGCUUGUCAGUGAAUACAUAGCUGGCCGGCGGCAGACGCGGGGAACUGAAACAUCUCAGUACCCGCAGGAAGAGAAAGAAAACUCGAUUCCCAUAGUAGCGGCGAGCGAAGUGGGAAGAGCCCAAACCGAGAAGCUUGCUUCUCGGGGUUGUAGGACUGGACAUUGGAGUUACCAAAGUCCGACGUAGUCGAAGUCAGCUGGAAAGCUGCGCCACAGAAGGUGAAAGCCCUGUAAGCGAAACGUCGAACCCUCCGUCCAGGAUCCUGAGUACGGCGGAACACGUGAAAUUCCGUCGGAAUCCGGGAGGACCAUCUCCCAAGGCUAAAUACUCCCUAGUGACCGAUAGUGAACCAGUACCGUGAGGGAAAGGUGAAAAGCACCCCGGAAGGGGAGUGAAACAGUUCCUGAAACCGUGUGCCUACAAUUAGUCAAAGCCCGUUAAUGGGUAAUGGCGUGCCUUUUGUAGAAUGAACCGGCGAGUUACGUUUGCUUGCGAGGUUAAGAUGAAAAGUCGGAGCCGUAGCGAAAGCGAGUCUGAACAGGGCGAAUGAGUAAGCAGAUGUAGACCCGAAACCAAGUGACCUACCCAUGACCAGGUUGAAGGUGUGGUGAAACACACUGGAGGACCGAACCCAUGUAUGUUGAAAAAUGCUGGGAUGAGUUGUGGGUAGCGGUGAAAUUCCAAACGAACUUGGAGAUAGCUGGUUCUCUCCGAAAUAGCUUUAGGGUUAGCCUCGGAGGAUGGAUCAUGGAGGUAGAGCACUGUUUGAACUAGGGGCCCAUCAAGGGUUACUGAAUUCAGAUAAACUCCGAAUACCAUUGAUCUUACUCCGGGAGUCAGACAGUGAGCGAUAAGGUCCAUUGUCGAAAGGGGAACAGCCCAGAUCACCAGUUAAGGUCCCUAAAUUUAUGCUAAGUGGAAAAGGAUGUGGCGUUGCACAGACAACUAGGAUGUUGGCUCAGAAGCAGCCACCAUUUAAAGAGUGCGUAAUAGCUCACUAGUCGAGUGGCACUGCGCCGAAAAUAUACCGGGGCUAAGCAUAAUACCGAAACUGUGGGUGCACCCGUAAGGGUGCGCGGUAGGAGAGCGUUCUAAGGGCGUUGAAGGUCGAUCGUGAGGACGGCUGGAGCGCUUAGAAGUGAGAAUGCCGGCAUGAGUAGCGAAAGAUCAGUGAGAAUCUGAUCCACCGUAUGACUAAGGUUUCCUGGGGAAGGCUCGUCCUCCCAGGGUUAGUCGGGAUCUAAGGCGAGGCCGAGAGGCGUAGUCGAUGACAAGCAGGUUGAGAUUCCUGCACUAGUUUAUUUUGUUUAAGCGAUGGAGGGACGCAGGAGGCUAAGGAAAGCGCACGGCUGGAAAUGUGCGCCCAAGCAGCAAGUCUGACAG
Molecule: ribosomal RNA, 1532 nt
Filed under: Lacticaseibacillus paracasei
Lineage: Bacteria; Bacillati; Bacillota; Bacilli; Lactobacillales; Lactobacillaceae
Description: partial 23S ribosomal RNA
Rfam family: Bacterial large subunit ribosomal RNA
Source: RNAcentral